GAUGAACGCUAGCGGCAGGCCUAAUACAUGCAAGUCGGACGGGAUCCAUCGGUAGCUUGCUAUCCAUGGUGAGAGUGGCGCACGGGUGCGUAACGCGUGAGCAACCUGCCUCCAUCAGGUGGAUAGCCUCUCGAAAGAGAGAUUAACACCGCAUAACAUAUCAGACCGGCAUCGGUCGGAUAUCAAAUAUUUAUAGGAUGGAGAUGGGCUCGCGUGACAUUAGCUUGUUGGUGGGGUAACGGCCCACCAAGGCGACGAUGUCUAGGGGCUCUGAGAGGAGAAUCCCCCACACUGGUACUGAGCCACGGCCCAGACUCCUACGGGAGGCAGCAGUAAGGAAUAUUGGUACAUGGGCGGAACCCUGAACCAGCCAUGCCGCGUGCAGGAUGACUGCCUUAUGGGUUGUAGACUGCUUUUGUCAGGGAAUAAACCUCCUUACGUGUAGGGAGCUGAAUGUACCGGACGAAUAAGGAUCGGCUAACUACGUG
RNAcentral lists this ribosomal RNA (488 nucleotides) under uncultured bacterium. RNAcentral's name for it is "partial 16S ribosomal RNA". It matches the Rfam family "Bacterial small subunit ribosomal RNA", at positions 28 to 507 of the family's 1533-position model. The record is from RNAcentral.